Long non-coding RNA from Bos taurus (domestic cattle), 351 nucleotides. The record is from Ensembl. NCBI's taxonomy places the organism in Eukaryota, Metazoa, Chordata, Mammalia, Artiodactyla, Bovidae.
GUAAAUUCUCUAAAGAACCCUAAAUAGCUGGCUCUCUGCAUAGGCAUCUACUGAGCACAGUGUCAUUCAGAUGCCUUUCGAUUGAUGAAAUACAACGUCAUCACUGCAUCCAAAUUUACUAGUAGCAAAAGUCCACUUCUGGUUCAAAGGCACAAUGUCAUCCCAGGAAUUUUUUUGAUGUAUAUUCGGGGAAAAUUACUAUUUGCCAACUUUAUUUUCAAUGGUUAUGGCACAUCUGCUAAGGAUCUUCAAAAGCAAACUGUGAAGACAAGGAGUGAUUAUCAUAUGGGAUAUUUCCUACCCAAUGACUUCAGGAUCCGGGCUCAACCUACUUCGUGUUUUGAAAAUGAG